CUACGGGGGGCUCCAGUGGGGAAUAUUGCACAAUGGGCGCAAGCCUGAUGCAGCCAUGCCGCGUGUAUGAAGAAGGCCUUCGGGUUGUAAAGUACUUUCAGCGGGGAGGAAGGGGGUAGAGUUAAUACCUUUGCUCAUUGACGUUACCCGCAGAAGAAGCACCGGCUAACUCCGUGCCAGCAGCCGCGGUAAUACGGAGGGUGCAAGCGUUAAUCGGAAUUACUGGGCGUAAAGCGCACGCAGGCGGUUUGUUAAGUCAGAUGUGAAAUCCCCGGGCUCAACCUGGGAACUGCAUCUGAUACUGGCAAGCUUGAGUCUCGUAGAGGGGGGUAGAAUUCCAGGUGUAGCGGUGAAAUGCGUAGAGAUCUGGAGGAAUACCGGUGGCGAAGGCGGCCCCCUGGACGAAGACUGACGCUCAGGUGCGAAAGCGUGGGGAGCAAACAGGAUUAGAUACCCCGGUAGUC
RNAcentral lists this ribosomal RNA (464 nucleotides) under uncultured bacterium. RNAcentral describes it as "partial 16S ribosomal RNA". It matches the Rfam family "Bacterial small subunit ribosomal RNA", at positions 339 to 795 of the family's 1533-position model. The record is from RNAcentral.